AUUGAACGCUGGCGGCAUGCCUUACACAUGCAAGUCGAACGGCAGCACGGGGGCAAUCCUGGUGGCGAGUGGCGAACGGGUGAGUAAUAUAUCGGAACGUGCCCAGUCGUGGGGAUAACGUAGCGAAAGCUACGCUAAUACCGCAUACGAUCUAUGGAUGAAAGCGGGGGAUCGCAAGACCUCGCGCGAUUGGAGCGGCCGAUAUCAGAUUAGGUAGUUGGUGAGGUAAAGGCUCACCAAGCCGACGAUCUGUAGCUGGUCUGAGAGGACGACCAGCCACACUGGGACUGAGACACGGCCCAGACUCCUACGGGAGGCAGCAGUGGGGAAUUUUGGACAAUGGGCGCAAGCCUGAUCCAGCAAUGCCGCGUGCAGGAUGAAGGCC
This 385-nucleotide ribosomal RNA is filed under the name uncultured bacterium. Its description in RNAcentral is "bacterial SSU rRNA". It matches the Rfam family "Bacterial small subunit ribosomal RNA", at positions 30 to 416 of the family's 1533-position model. The record is from RNAcentral.